UGUAACUCGAAACUGGUGUAAAGUGCAACCAUUUUGUGUGAUUAUUCGUAAAUAACCUGCUAAAGAUGACGUGCGGGGCAGAAUGUCUGUCGAUCGGUCCCCCGCCAGAUUCGAUUCUGCACAUGCCGCCGCCGCCGCUACCCGCGUUCCUGGCCAGUGCUGCCAACCUGACCCCACCAUGCAGGGCUUCUAAGUGCCCGCCAUUGCAGAACAACGAGGACAACGCUCUGUUCCCGGGAGUGGAAUACCAUGAGCUGCCUAGACACGAGCCAGCCGGCAACGAUGACACGUGGUUCUUAGUCCUGAUCACAUGCUGCAUCGCCGUGCUUUGCAUUGCGGCACUACUUGCGCUCUUCUUGCUCAAGUGCAGAGACUUUGUUCACAGAGCGCGCGGCGGCUGCAAAAGCGGAACUGGCAAGGCCAGUGGCUCGAACGCUCUAUACGGGGGCGCAGCCCUAGAUUCUCGGGUGCUCUGGGCGGCUCUAACACCACGGGGUACUCGCCACUUCGUCGCCGACACCUACCCUCACGAUGAGACCGAGGACCACCACUACGAGUGCGUCGAGCCUCCGCUGUACAAGCUCGGGCCUCCAGAAGACCUCACCAUCACGCGUCACUUCAACGUCGAAUACGAGGACCCGGCUCCUCUCAUCGAAAGCUACAGCGACCGAACAGAGGAGUACUUUCGAAAUGGCAUGGAUACCCUCCGCCGUGGGCGACCCCUCGUGUCCUCUCCGACCAGGAUCGAGCGCCCUAACCUUCCUCCCCUAAAUCUCCAGCCCCGAACCCUCCGAAGGGCACCACAUUCCCGCCGGGUGAGCGAUGCAAACAACCCCGAGAAGUCGGCCAUCUGAACCGAGACUGGCGCGGUAUUUUCCGUCGCCGACUCCGCAGAUAUUGACUACGAUUGGCAGGCGCUCGAGAACUCAAACGUCGACCGUCUCGUCUGAAGACACCGCUUCUAAAGAGUAUCUUGACAAGCGCACCAAUCCAGCACCAAUACACAAGUUUAAUGGGGACAAUGGUUAGAUUCCGCGUACAGUGUUAUUUGACGAAAUAGUGAACAUUUCAAGCUGAGCAUCAGUGUCUGUUCUAUAGGUAGAGAAUAUUUAAUUUUUUGCAGUAUUACUUAUUACUUAACGCUACUAAGAAUGAGUUUUUGUAAAUAUCACGUAAAUUAUUUUAGCAGCUAUGUACAAUGUAAGCUAAUGCAAUUGAUCUAGUCAGCAAUUUAUAUUUUCUAGUCUAUAAUUUAUUUUGAAUCUCUUGUCGUUGAUGGUGCUAUUUCUGGGAUAGUAAGAACCCUCAAUGGGCAAGAGGUUUAGUUGUACCUUGUAAGCAAUGAUCUCGAUGUCUAUCUACUCUCACAAACGUACUUAAGUACCCUCACAAUGUAUUUAAAAUCUUAAUGAGUCAAAAAUUAAAAAUUAAAACACUAAAUGCAAGCAUGUUUGUGCCAUACACGUUAGAUUAAUAGCAUCCAUUUUUUUA
This is an RNA transcript of Ostrinia furnacalis (Asian corn borer), 1491 nucleotides long. RefSeq lists it as uncharacterized. The transcript has 5 exons. The record is from RefSeq and is a predicted model, not a curated record. NCBI's taxonomy places the organism in Eukaryota, Metazoa, Arthropoda, Insecta, Lepidoptera, Crambidae.